This 379-nucleotide ribosomal RNA is filed under the name uncultured eukaryote. Its description in RNAcentral is "partial 18S ribosomal RNA". It matches the Rfam family "Eukaryotic small subunit ribosomal RNA", at positions 592 to 976 of the family's 1831-position model. The record is from RNAcentral.
CAAUAGCGUAUAUUUAAGUUGUUGCAGUUAAAAAGCUCGUAGUUGGAUUUCGGGUAGGAUUUGCCGGUCCGUCUUUGAGAUGUGUACUGGUAAGUCCUAUCUUCUUGUCGGGGACCAGCUCCUGGGCUUCACUGUCCGGGACUGGGAGCCGACGAAGUUACUUUGAGUAAAUUAGAGUGUUCAAAGCAAGCCUACGCUCUGAAUAUAUUAGCAUGGAAUAACACGAUAGGACUCUGGCUUAUCUUGUUGGUCUGUGAGACCAGAGUAAUGAUUAAGAGGGACAGUCGGGGACAUUCGUAUUUCAUUGUCAGAGGUGAAAUUUUUGGAUUUAUGAAAGACGAACUUCUGCGAAAGCAUUUGUCAAGGAUGUUUUCAUUAA